UUUAAAAAUUCAUGUUUUAGGUUUUCCUGAGUUAAAGGUGAUUAGAUCCUAGGACGAGGUGCUCUUUCCUAUACAUUGCUCGGUAGGUCUAAUGUGACAGUAAGUGAUAUCAAUCGUGCCCAAAGUCACUCCGCUGACGGUCAAGGUUUAAUCAUGUGUAUAUGAAUACUUGGUGUGAAAUACUAAGAAUCAUUUGUUAAUCUAUAUAUGAAUAUAAUGGUUGAUGAUACCAUUAUGAAUGCAUGAUUGGGUUUUAUGAGUUGUUUUCAAAGGAAUUGUAAUUGAGCAUUAUGAAUUUCAGAUUCUAAAGGAAUAUGGAUUAAAGUAUAAGAUCAUGUAAGUAGGCUUGCUUGGGCUUGG
Molecule: long non-coding RNA, 360 nt
Filed under: Theobroma cacao (cacao)
Lineage: Eukaryota; Viridiplantae; Streptophyta; Magnoliopsida; Malvales; Malvaceae
Description: long non-coding RNA (TCAC_LNC003089)
Source: RNAcentral